This 197-nucleotide ribosomal RNA is filed under the name uncultured bacterium. RNAcentral describes it as "partial 16S ribosomal RNA". It matches the Rfam family "Bacterial small subunit ribosomal RNA", at positions 328 to 539 of the family's 1533-position model. The record is from RNAcentral.
ACGCUCGACACCUACGGGAGCAGCAGUGGGGAAUAUUGCACAAUGGGGGGAACCCUGAUGCAGCGACGCCGCGUGAGGGAAGAAGGUUUUCGGAUUGUAAACCUCUGUCUUUGGUGACGAUAAUGACGGUAGCCAAAGAGGAAGCUACGGCUAACUACGUGCUAGCAGCCGCGGUAAUCUGAGCGGGCUGGCAAGGC